RNAcentral lists this long non-coding RNA (221 nucleotides) under Hordeum vulgare. RNAcentral describes it as "long non-coding RNA (HVUL_LNC008186)". Lineage: Eukaryota; Viridiplantae; Streptophyta; Magnoliopsida; Poales; Poaceae. The record is from RNAcentral.
UAUCAAUGACAUCUAAUGCUCAUGAUCAGGAAACCAUGAUCAUAUAUUGAUCAACGAGCUAGCCAACUAGAGGCUUGCUAGGGACACAUUGUGAUCUAUUUAUUCACACAUGUAUUACUGUUUCCUGUUAAUACAAUUAUAGCAUGAACAAUAGACGAUUAUCAUGAACAAGGAAUAUGAUAAUAACCAUUUUAUUAUUGCCUCUAGGGCAUAUUUCCAAC